Molecule: long non-coding RNA, 426 nt
Organism: Oncorhynchus keta (chum salmon)
Lineage: Eukaryota; Metazoa; Chordata; Actinopteri; Salmoniformes; Salmonidae
Exons: 3
Source: RefSeq, a predicted model, not a curated record
UCCAUAAUAAACCCCAGGAAGAGUAGCUGCUGCCUUGGUAGUAGCUAAUGGGGAUUCAUAAUAAACCCCAGGAAGAGUAGCUGCUGCCUUGGUAGCAGCUAAUGGGGAUUCAUAAUAAAUACAAAUAACAACCCUGUUCCUGGAGAGCUACCGAUCUGUAGGUGUUUGCUCCAACCCUGUUCCUGGAGAGCUACCGAUCUGUAGGUGUUUGCUCCAACCCUGUUCCUGGAGAGCUACCGAUCUGUAGGUGUUUGCUCCAACCCUGUUCCUGGAGAGCUACCGAUCUGUAGGUGUUUGCUCCAACCCUGUUCCUGGAGAGCUACCGAUCUGUAGGUGUUUGCUCCAACCCUGUUCCUGGAGAGCUACCGAUCUGUAGGUGUUUGCUCCAACCCUGUUCCUGGAGAGCUACCGAUCUGUAGGUGUUUG